Molecule: ribosomal RNA, 265 nt
Filed under: uncultured bacterium
Lineage: Bacteria
Description: partial 16S ribosomal RNA
Rfam family: Bacterial small subunit ribosomal RNA
Source: RNAcentral
GUCCACGCUGUAAACGAUGGAUGCUAGCCGUCAGCAAGCAUGCUUGUUGGUGGCGCAGCUAACGCAUUAAGCAUCCCGCCUGGGGAGUACGGCCGCAAGGUUAAAACUCAAAGGAAUUGACGGGGGCCCCGCACAAGCGGUGGAGCAUGUGGUUUAAUUCGACGCAACGCGAAGAACCUUACCAACCCUUGACAUGUCCGGUCGGUUUCCAGAGAUGGACUCCUCCCAGCAAUGGGCCGGAACACAGGUGCUGCAUGGCUGUCGU